Columba livia (rock pigeon) is the source of this 1763-nucleotide long non-coding RNA. RefSeq lists it as uncharacterized. The record is from RefSeq and is a predicted model, not a curated record. The transcript is spliced from 3 exons. Lineage: Eukaryota; Metazoa; Chordata; Aves; Columbiformes; Columbidae.
GAGGGAGGACACAGCCAGGACACGGCCUGGAUACAACCCUGGCCACGGCCACCCCAGCAGGCCCCUCUCCAGACCAGGAAGGGUUGAACAAGGACUUAUGACAGCUCAGUUCACAGGAAAGGAUGGGGAUGUCCUGGCUUUCUCACUUGUGAACCAAAACUGACAACUCAAUAGCAGAAUACAUAUUAAUGCAUCUAUUUAUAUGGAUUGUGGGCCAUACAAUUAUUCACAUAAGGAAGAGAUCCUUGAGCAAGAGUCUUAAAGCAGCAGCAUUCACAAGAACAAGGCUCCACAGAAAUUCCCCUCAUUUUACGGAUUACUACAAACAUCAGACAAUGACUCAGCAGAAUAAUUUGUGCACUAGUAAACACAAGUCUUGGAAAGAAAAUCUGUCUAACAUUUAAGCAUUAGAGAAGAACUCAGACUCACUGUUUCAAAUCAAAACAUAUCGACUUAGGGGAGUGCAACUUUUCCUCUUGGUUGCAAGUGUCCUGCAACAUUGUCAUCUUCAGCGAAAGAAUAACGAUAAAAAUUCAACAAAAAUUAAUUUCUAGCUGUUGUGUAUUGAUAAGGAUCAUGGCUGAAAUAUUGUGGCAAAACUAGUUCCUCCAGUCCCAGGACUGUCAAAGGCUAAAAAGAAUCAUGCCUCAAAUAUUGUAGCAGGACAUGACACAUUCAGUAGAAGGGUGAACUACGAUUUACAUAUCAACGACAAGCUAAAGAGCCACAGCCCAGGCUGGCUGACUGAUACCGGGGGAUGUGCUGAUAUUGCCCAGCUUGGCACACAAAGGGGAAAAGCUGAGACCCUUCAGCAUGGCCUGAGAUUGCCGACACUUGUCGAUCUUUUGCAAUCACCCCUUCUCCGGGACUUCUGCAUGGCACAAAGGUGAAAAACUGAGGACCUUCAACAUGGCCCAGGACUUGUCGAGACUUGUUGAUCUUUCGUAAUCACCUCUUCACCCCAGACUUUCCUCUACUCGGAAAGCUAUUAAAAAGCUCACCUAAAACAGCACUGGUAGGGAACCCACCACCCUGAGGACCCUCCGCCCACCAGCCUCACCACAGGAACUGGACCAGACACCGGAGGACGCUACGCUCCUGAACUACAAACCCCAACAUCCAUGCCAUGGGACACCGGAGGCCAUACAUCAUCAUACAAGUCUUGUCAUCCAUGCUGCAGAGACGUAAGAGUGGCUGGGUCCUUCACCCUUUGCUUUCUUCCUUUCUCUCUGCUCUUUCCUUCUCUCCUUUUUUUCUAUAUCCAUAUGUCUUUGUCUCUCCUUCCGUGAGUGGUGAUAUAUUACUCUCUCUCUCUCUUAUACCUUAGUUUUUCUUCCCUCUCUACCACUCUCUUUCUCUCUUUUCCUUUUGAACAUAUAAGAGUAACAUCAUCUUAAGCUCUGCUGUUGCAUUCUUGUUAAGUUUUGUAUUAUAGCUACUAGUGUUUGCCAAUCCAUUGCUCAUGGAAGGACUUUGGCUGUUAAUGUAUUGCUAAGUUCUGUAAUAUCAUAAAAUGCUUUUGCCAAGCCACUAUUCGCUGUAAUUAGUAUUCCAACAUGUACUUUUAGUAAAACUCAUAAUUGAAUUGGACCCCUGGAGUGAUUGUCAUUCACCUUGCAUAACUACGCAGAAUUAACCCAGAGUUAACUCACACCUGGUCUCAUCUGUUGAGCCAGGGCACGUGUCGCGUUCAGAGUUAACUCAUCCCUCACUCCAUCUGUUGGGAUGCGACACUAGCCCUUGACGUUUCUCAUGUGAAAUAU